Agrilus planipennis (emerald ash borer) is the source of this 234-nucleotide long non-coding RNA. RefSeq lists it as uncharacterized. The record is from RefSeq and is a predicted model, not a curated record. The transcript is spliced from 3 exons. Lineage: Eukaryota; Metazoa; Arthropoda; Insecta; Coleoptera; Buprestidae.
UCUUGUAGUUAAUUAAGGAACAUUAGAAGAACUCCAGAUACCAUUAAAUUAUGAAAUUUUGGAGCAUUGGUUGUAUUAGUCCUCAUUUGCCCUGGAAAGUAGCUGUGCCCAUAGUUCUAAAGAAAGCAUGAAAGUGCCUUUUUUUCAUUGGAAUGAAGACAGUUUGCUGAAAAAGGAUUUAUGACAAUGAACUGAUUGUCCCACAAAUGAGAAGGAAUUGCAGUUAAUUUUGGU